AUGUACUGGCAUCACAGAGCAGUGGACUGCCCUGGCAUUAGACCUGCCCUCAGGACCAGCCUCAAAGGACAGCAGAGAGGCACAUCCUUCCAGCAGUACAGUGUGACCACUAUUCUCAAAAAAAGACAUGGCCCGAGAUGCUCCCACCUUCCAUCCUGGCUCCUGGAAUUACAUCUGGCUCCAAAGAACCUGGACAUCUCAAUUUCCUCCCCAAAAGCUGCCGUUCUCCAAGAUGCAGAAGCCAGAGGGGUGACGUUCCUGUUCAGGAAGAAGGGAUGUCCAGGCCCACUGCCCCACUCUCUCAGCAGAUUCUCAUUUUCAGAAUCCUGGAAACCAGACCCAGAAAUCUGCCUCCCUCUGUUUACCCAGAGUUCCAAUGUCACCAACCCCCUCAAUUAAUGCUAGGGCGCUGGGUCAUGCAUAGCACGGUCAGCUCGGUCUCCAAUUCUGGCAGCAGCUGCAGCCAAGGUCAAGAACCAUGGGGGCUGGGUUAGCUCUUACUAGUCCCCUAAAUGCCACUGCCCACGCUCUCCACUCCCGCCCCUCCCGCUGAGCAGCGGCUGCCAGGGCGGCAGGAAGUCCUUCGCCCUGGGCCCGGCGCCCUCCAGCGGUGGACGCAGAGCACCAGGCUCCAAAACUAGGAAGCCAGCUCAGCCUGUAGCUGGGCAGCUGGGGCAGCUUCACACCUAAACCAGCCUCUAAACGGGCGCACCUGGACAAAAACCAGUAAUUUAGAAAAGUCUGUGUUUCUAGACAUCUCGCACGGCCAGCAUUCUCCAUGAGAAGGGAGCUAAUAGGAGCAACUUUUCCUAUACGCUGGAGACUUAAUGAGUCUCUCACCAACCCAAGGCUGACCUGUAAUCUGAAAUGACCACGAAAGAGGCAAUUUCAAGCCUAAAGAAAGGACCCCACUAUGUUGACAUUUAGGCAUGAGUGUGGGUGGCAUUGGGGCAGGAGUCCUAUGUGCUGCUUAAAUCCCACCAUAGAGUCAACUGGCAGUGUGGCCUCUGUCUGACACAGCUCAGGCUCUCCUGCUCUGAGGGAAUUUAGCAGAAGGUCCCUUACCCCACCCAGUUCUGCAGCCCCUCUGAGAAGUCACAUAGCUGAUGCUCACAGGGGCUGGGGGUGUGCUUCUCCCAGUCCCCACCCCUUCUCCCACCUCUCACGUUGCCUGUGGUUCCAGGAGCCAGCUGCGUUUAGUC
RNAcentral lists this long non-coding RNA (1202 nucleotides) under Macaca mulatta (Rhesus monkey). Its description in RNAcentral is "lncRNA (ENSMMUG00000059912.1)". The record is from RNAcentral. Lineage: Eukaryota; Metazoa; Chordata; Mammalia; Primates; Cercopithecidae.